CGUUCCAUAGCUUAAUUGGCUAGAGCGUCGACAUGGUAUGUCGAAGACGCGGGUUCGAAUCCCGCUGGAGCGG
Molecule: non-coding RNA, 73 nt
Organism: Melitaea cinxia (Glanville fritillary)
Lineage: Eukaryota; Metazoa; Arthropoda; Insecta; Lepidoptera; Nymphalidae
Source: the annotation of a RefSeq genome assembly